CUGAGCGCGUGAUGAUUUAAAUAUUGAUGUUGAGACUUCAUCUAUGAAAUCUUAUCAUAAUCGAGCUUUUUAAAACUGAUGCUCAGUAAUCGCCUGUCUGAUUUUCCUUGAUGUCGGCUUCUGUCUUUUCCAUACUCUCUUUGAUGUUAUCUGGGUGGAUGUGAGGCAGAGUUCUCCCCCUCCUAUGGCAUUGGGAUCACCUGAGCACGUGAUGAUUAAAAUAUUGAUAUUGAGACUUGAUCUAUGAAAUCUUAUCAUAAUCGAGCUUUUUAAAGCUGAUGCUCAGUAACCUUCUCUCUAAUUUUCCUUGACGUCUGCUUACAUCUUUUCCGUGCUCUCUUUUGGUUUUAUCUGGGCGUAUGUGAAGCAGAUCCCCCUCACCCCCAUGGCAUUGACCUCAACUGAGCACGUGAUGAUCAAUAUAUUGAUGUUGAGACUCAUCUAUGAAAUCUUAUCAUAAUCGAGCUUUUUAAAACUGAUGCUCAGUAAUCUCCUGCCUGAUUUCUCUGGAUGUCUGCCUAUGUCUUUUGUUUUUAUCUGGGUGGAUCUGGGGCAGAGUUCCCCACCCCCCUAUGGCAUUGACCUCACCUGAGCAUGUGAUGAUUAAUAUAUUGAUGUUGAGGCUUCAUCUAUGAAAUCUUAUCAUAAUCGAGCUUUUUAAAACUGAUGCUCAGUAAACUUACGCCUUUUCCUUACUUUCUUUUGAUGUUAUCUGGGCGAAUGUGAGGUAGAGUCCCCACCCUAUGGGUCUGGGAUCACCUGAGCACGUGAUGAUUGAUAUCUUGAUGUGGAGACUUGAUCUGUGAAAUCUUAUCAUAAUCGAGCUUUUUAAAACUGAUGCUCAGGAACUUGCUGCGUUUGCCUUCUUCAUGCCUUCUUUCUUUUUAAUGUUCUCUUUCUGGCUCCAUCUUCGGGGAUGAGAGUUCAUCUGAGCACGUGAUGAUUUUUUGCAUACCGAUAUUGAGAUUUCGUCGAUGAAAUCAUAUCAAAAUCGAGCUUUUUAAACCUGAUGCUCAGUGGGAACCUCCUCAUAUCCAUGAAGAACAGUGAUCUGUAGUCUCUCUCCACCACGAAUCCUCCAGCGGCCAUCAUAAUUUCUGAUAAAUUCAAAAUUCCCGGAGUAGGC
RNAcentral lists this long non-coding RNA (1126 nucleotides) under Spirodela polyrhiza (greater duckweed). Lineage: Eukaryota; Viridiplantae; Streptophyta; Magnoliopsida; Alismatales; Araceae. The record is from RNAcentral.